Pan troglodytes (chimpanzee) is the source of this 1163-nucleotide long non-coding RNA. RefSeq lists it as uncharacterized. NCBI's taxonomy places the organism in Eukaryota, Metazoa, Chordata, Mammalia, Primates, Hominidae. The record is from RefSeq and is a predicted model, not a curated record. The transcript is spliced from 4 exons.
AAGAAUAAAAGCAGGCUGCCCAAGCUAGCAGUAGCAACCCGUUGGGGUCCCUUUCCACUCUGUGGAAGGUUUGUUCUUUUGCUCUUUGCAAUAAAUCUUGCUGCUCACUGUUUGGGUCCACAUUGCUUUUAUGAGCUGUAACACUCGCCGUGAAGGUCUGCAGCUUCACUCCUGAAGCCAACAAGACCACCAACCCACCAGGAGGAACAAACAACUUCAGACGCGCUGCCUUAAGAGCUGUAACACUCACCGCGAAGGUAUGCAGCUUCACUCCUGAAGCCAGCGAGACCACGAACCCAUCAGGAGGAAGGAACAACUCCAGACGCGCCACCUUAAGAGCUGCAACACUCACCGCGAAGGUCUGCAGCUUCACUCCUGAGCCAGCGAGACCACGAACCCACCAAAAGGAAGAAACUCCGGACACAUCUUAACAUCAGAAGGAACAAACUCCGGACACGCCACCUUUAAGGCCACCUUUAAGAACUGUAACACUCACCGCGAAGGUCCACGGCUUCAUUCUUUAAGUCAGUGAGACCGAGAACCCACCAAUUCCGGACACACAGAUACAGCCAAGCCUCUUUGCUUCUCUGGGCCAGCCUCUCUGGAGCUGAAUCGUGGCUGGCUGGAUUUGAGGAGCCUGCAUGGGCGCACUCUCUCUCUCUGAAUCCCAGCUAGGGCUCUCCUGGCUGUAAUUACUAAGACUCAGCUGCUGGGAAUUUCCACGCCUCCUACCUCUCUACAGGGCAGUCCCUCCAUAUUAGGAAACCCACUGGCGCGCUCCGCCAUAAUCUUCGCAAGACUUCCGUUGUUGCGUCAAGUUGCAGAUUGCCUUUUAACAGAGAAAAAAGUGACAGGAAUGUGCUGGCACUGAUGACACAGUAAUGACCAAGAUAAACAAGGACCUGCUCUAGCCUGACAGGCUGGUCUUCAGUGUUUUGGCCAUCUCCCUACCUGAUCACCCUGAAGCAACACCCACAAGCGGACAAUCUCUGCCCAGUGAUUAAUAUACGUGGAAUCCUCAUCAAAGAGCAGAUUGUGUCAAACCCACAGAGUGUGUGACUCUUGCAUGGCUCAGAACUCAUUAUCUUCCAGCAGCAAGUUGAGAGAUUCUUGGACAGAGAUUUAAACAAACGCUCACGUUGCCGCUUUGACCCAGCUAACCU